AGUAUAGUGGCGUAGUGGUUUGAGUGUUGGACUACGACUCUGGAGACCAGGGUUGGAUUCCCAGCUCAGCCA
Non-coding RNA from Phrynosoma platyrhinos (Desert horned lizard), 72 nucleotides. The record is from the annotation of a GenBank genome assembly. Lineage: Eukaryota; Metazoa; Chordata; Lepidosauria; Squamata; Phrynosomatidae.